GGGGGUGCCUGGUUUUGACAGCAUAGAUCUUUGAAAGUGUAAGCAUGCCGUGCGUUGGAUAAUUAGCACGUAAAUCUGAAUAUUCAAAACUCAAAUGGCAAUACUCAGUAUGCCAUGGCUGCCUAAUCAGUGAUUAGAUAGUCAUUUGGGCCGCCGGGCAGGUUAGUUCUGUUACCAAGCCCCGCCGCCGACUCAAAACAAAUACAGAAUGCUGCAACCGAAGGCUGUGACGGUUGCCUAAGACUAUCCAGCUAAGUAAUACAUCGGUUUGUUCUUUUCCUGUGUAUUGCCGACAAAUAAUAAGGAAAUAAGCAUGUAGAAAGCUUUCGGCGAAUAUGUUUGGACAGGGGUUCGACUCCCCUCACCUCCACCA
This 373-nucleotide transfer-messenger RNA is filed under the name Chitinophagaceae bacterium. It matches the Rfam family "transfer-messenger RNA". From Rfam's summary of the family: Bacterial tmRNA, also known as 10Sa RNA or SsrA, is named for its dual tRNA and mRNA-like properties. Its role is to liberate the mRNA from a stalled ribosome. The record is from RNAcentral. Lineage: Bacteria; Pseudomonadati; Bacteroidota; Chitinophagia; Chitinophagales; Chitinophagaceae.